Small nuclear RNA from Loxodonta africana (African savanna elephant), 93 nucleotides. The record is from Ensembl. Lineage: Eukaryota; Metazoa; Chordata; Mammalia; Proboscidea; Elephantidae.
GUACUGCUUUGGCAGCACAUAUACUAAAAUUGGAACAAUACAGAGGAGAUUAACAUGACCCCUGUGCAAAUUUAUGAAACGUUCCAUAUUUUU